Molecule: ribosomal RNA, 560 nt
Filed under: uncultured Glomus
Lineage: Eukaryota; Fungi; Glomeromycota; Glomeromycetes; Glomerales; Glomeraceae
Description: SSU rRNA
Rfam family: Eukaryotic small subunit ribosomal RNA
Source: RNAcentral
AAUUGGAGGGCAAGUCUGGUGCCAGCAGCCGCGGUAAUUCCAGCUCCAAUAGCGUAUAUUAAAGUUGUUGCAGUUAAAAAGCUCGUAGUUGAAUUUCGGGAUCAAUAUUUCGGUCAUGCCGUUGGUAUGCACUGUUAUCAUUGAUUUCUCACCUUCUAAAGAACCGUAAUGCCAUUAAUUUGGUGUUACGGGGAAUUAGGACUGUUACCUUGAAAAAAUUAGAGUGUUUAAAGCAGGCUCACGCUUGAAUACAUUAGCAUGGAAUAAUGAAAUAGGACAUCCGAUUCUAUUUUGUUGGUUUCUAGGAUCGAUGUAAUGAUUAAUAGGGAUAGUUGGGGGCAUUAGUAUUCAAUUGUCAGAGGUGAAAUUCUUGGAUUUAUUGAAGACUAACUACUGCGAAAGCAUUUGCCAAGGAUGUUUUCAUUAAUCAAGAACGAAAGUUAGGGGAUCGAAGACGAUCAGAUACCGUCGUAGUCUUAACCAUAAACUAUGCCGACUAGGGAUCGGAUGAUGUUAAUUUUUUAAUGGCUCAUUCGGCGCCUUACGGGAAACCAAAGUGU